GACGUAGGGUCCAAGCGUUGUCCGGAUUUACUGGGCGUAAAGAGCGCGUAGGCGGUCUGUUAAGUGUAGAGUGAAAUCUCCAGGGCUCAACCCGGAAACUGCUCUGCAUACUGGCAGACUUGAGGGAUGCAGAGGUGAAUGGAAUUCCUGGUGUAGCGGUGAAAUGCGUUGAUAUCAGGAGGAACACCCAUGGCGAAGGCAGUUCACUGGGCAUCAUCUGACGCUGAGGCGCGAAAGCGUGGGUAGCAAACAGG
Molecule: ribosomal RNA, 254 nt
Filed under: uncultured bacterium
Lineage: Bacteria
Description: partial 16S ribosomal RNA
Rfam family: Bacterial small subunit ribosomal RNA
Source: RNAcentral